GAUGAACGCUAGCGGCAGGCUUAACACAUGCAAGUCGAGGGGUAUGCCGAUUUAUCGGCAGAGACCGGCGCACGGGUGCGUAACGCGUAUGCAAUCUACCUUUCACAGAGGGAUAGCCCAGAGAAAUUUGGAUUAAUACCUCAUAGUAUAGCGGUUUCGCAUGAAACCACUAUUAAAGUUCCAACGGUGAAAGAUGAGCAUGCGUCCCAUUAGUUAGUUGGUAAGGUAACGGCUUACCAAGACAAUGAUGGGUAGGGGUCCUGAGAGGGAGAUCCCCCACACUGGUACUGAGACACGGACCAGACUCCUACGGGAGGCAGCAGUGAGGAAUAUUGGUCAAUGGGCGCAAGCCUGAACCAGCCAUGCCCGCGUGCAGGAAGACGGUCCUAUGGAUUGUAAACUGCUUUUAUACAGGAAGAAACACUCCGACGUGUCGGAGCUUGACGGUACUGUAAGAAUAAGGAUCGGCUAACUCCGUGCCAGCAGCCGA
This 490-nucleotide ribosomal RNA is filed under the name uncultured bacterium. RNAcentral describes it as "bacterial SSU rRNA". It matches the Rfam family "Bacterial small subunit ribosomal RNA", at positions 28 to 518 of the family's 1533-position model. The record is from RNAcentral.